This is a non-coding RNA of Paramisgurnus dabryanus, 269 nucleotides long. The record is from RefSeq and is a predicted model, not a curated record. Lineage: Eukaryota; Metazoa; Chordata; Actinopteri; Cypriniformes; Cobitidae.
CAAUAAUCAAACUGCCGGUGUAACAUGAUGGUCUACGUGAGAUCUUUGUUUUGCCUUGUGGAGCUGUAUAUAAUAAAGCGAGACAUUACUAACUGAGAACAGCAGAGACAGAGGCAUGAGGGGAUCAAAGCACAUAAUGAAGAGGCCUGGACAUGCUUUACGAGUUCAUAAACAAAAUAUCUCGGUCCUCACCCGGGCACUGCCAUAACGAUUUACGAUUCAGAGUGGAAGCAUCUCUCAGGAAUGCAACUUUAAGGACUACGAUCUGU